CCGCAGCCGCAACGCCACCCGCAGCCUCAGCCCCAGCCGUAGGCACAGCCACCGGCACAACCACAGCCCCAGCUCCUGCUGCAGCUCCUCCAGACACCGUCCCUACGCCGACAUCCUGGAGGUUGGGAUGCUCUUGUCCAAAAUCAACUCUCUUGCCCACCUGCGCGCCGCGCCCUGCAACGACCUGCACGCCACCAAGCUGGCGCCCGGCAAGGAGAAGGAGCCCCUGGAGUCACAGUACCAGGUGGGCCCGCUCCUGGGCAGCGGCGGCUUCGGCUCGGUCUACUCAGGCAUCCGUGUCGCCGACAACUUGCCGGUGAGUGGGCGGCCCACCGCGGGGAGGGAGCGCCGGACGGGGGGCGCACGGGUGUGUUUGGCCCGGGCGAGGGAACCUAACGCUCUCUGGGGGGCUUUCCAGGUGGCCAUCAAGCACGUGGAGAAGGACCGCAUUUCAGACUGGGGAGAGCUGCCUAAUGGCACCCGAGUGCCCAUGGAAGUGGUUCUGCUGAAAAAGGUGAGCUCGGGCUUCUCCGGCGUCAUUAGACUCCUGGACUGGUUCGAGAGGCCCGACAGUUUCGUCCUGAUCCUGGAGAGGCCCGAGCCGGUGCAAGACCUCUUCGACUUUAUCACGGAAAGGGGGGCCCUGCAGGAGGAGCUGGCCCGCAGCUUCUUCUGGCAGGUGCUGGAGGCCGUGCGGCACUGCCACAACUGCGGGGUGCUUCACCGCGACAUCAAGGACGAGAACAUCCUUAUCGACCUCAAUCGCGGCGAGCUCAAGCUCAUCGACUUCGGGUCGGGGGCGCUGCUCAAGGACACCGUCUACACGGACUUCGAUGGGACCCGAGUGUAUAGUCCUCCAGAGUGGAUCCGCUACCAUCGCUACCAUGGCAGGUCGGCAGCCGUCUGGUCUCUGGGGAUCCUGCUGUACGAUAUGGUCUGUGGAGAUAUUCCCUUUGAGCACGAUGAGGAGAUCAUCAGGGGCCAAGUUUUCUUCAGGCAGAGGGUCUCUUCAGAGUGUCAACAUCUCAUUAGAUGGUGCUUGGCCUUGAGACCAUCAGAUCGGCCAUCCUUCGAAGAAAUCCAGAACCAUCCAUGGAUGCAAGAUGUCCUCCUGCCCCAGGAAACUGCUGAGAUCCAUCUCCACAGCCUGUUGCCAGGGCCCAGCAAAUAGCUUCUCAGGAGGCAGCAGAUGGAGUUAUUACUGCCCUUGGCUGAGGUGAUCUGGGAAGGCUUCAAAGAGGAGGCAGCAUUUCAACUGGACUUUGAAGGGUGAACCUCAGUUUGUUCACCUGUAAAAAGUGAGGCACAGAACAUACAGGUAAAGCAAAUAAAUCCAGAGGGGCUAAUGUUUUUCCCCCCAUUAGACCAGGGAGGGACAAGCCACAACCUGCUGACCGAGUCUGGCACACUACCUGGUUUUGCACGGCCUGUAAGCUAAGACUUGUUUUAACAUUUUAAAUGGUUGAAAACAGACUGAGUGAGGAAUAAUAUUUCAUAAGACGUAAAGAUUAUGUGAAAUUUAAUUGUCAGCAUUAAGAAAUAAAGCUCAUCCAUUUACGGAUUGUUUAUGACUGCUUUCAUACUGCAAUGGCAGAGUUGAGUAGUUGUGACAAAGACCUUAUGGCCAAAAAUAUUUACUAUCUGGCCCUUUACAGAAAAAAGUUUGCAAAUUCCUGCACUAGACCAUGGUCUCAUUGAUUCAUCUGCAUCUUUCAUAACACUUGGCGAUAAUAGCUAACACUUAUUCAGUACCUACCAUGUGCCCAGCACUGUUUUGCAUGCUUUGCAUGUCUUAGUCUUACAACAACUCUCCAUGAGGGAGAUAUUAUUAUUUAUCCCCAUUUUGCAGGUGGGGAAAACUGAGGUGCAGAGCAGUAAGUACUAUGUCAAAAGUCACGUACCUAAGAAGUGGCCAGGUUAGAAUUUGGACCCAGGUGGUCCAUGCUCACUACCACUCUGCUAUACUGCUACUUAAUAAAUGUUUGUGUGGAUUAGUCAUCUCAAGUUUCCUUCAGGGCCCAGAAUCUGGGUGGACGUCAAGGCAGUUCUUCCCCAGACUCCAGAGUGUCAGGGCCUCCCAUGGACUGAACUCAGCUGAAAGUCAGAAGGCAGGGAGUCUGGUGUGAGGCAGUCCACAUAGGUCAGCCUUUCCAGGCACAGAGCAAGCUGGAGAAGGGUGGGGAACAGCUCUGGAGGCCAAGGGAAGACGCCCAGCAUGGUCGCCGCUGUAAUGUGCUUCCUCCCCUGGCUUCACGGACCAUCUUCUUCAUGGUGAUUGCCACAACUCCUGCAUAGACCUCUCUCCUGAGUUCAGGCCUGGGGAUCAAUAGCCUCCUAGAUACCACUGCCCAGGGGCUCCCAGGAACCCAGGAACUGCAUAUCACUUGAGUGCCUGCAGGAAAAUGAUCGAGACCUUCCCAACCCCUGAAUUCCACCCUGCCACUGCUCACCUCUCAGCUCCGCUCGUGAAGUUCCUUAGAGACACAGAUGCCCACACAUUUUCUAAGUGAAAAGAAUUUUUUUGCUUAUAAAAAUGGUACAAGCUUUUUAGUAAAAAUAAUGGUAUGAAGUGAAUUAAAGUUAUAUGAUGUAAUUCUACCACUCCAGAGAGAAAUACUUUUAGCACAUCCAUAUUUAUAUUUAAAUAUGUAUAUAUUUAUAUGUACACACAUAUUAGCUAUAUAUAAUUUUAUAGAACAGAGCUCAUAUUUUUGGUAACCUGUUUUUCCCCCACUUAACAAUGUACUAUUGAAAUGCUUCCAUUUCAAGAACUAUGGACAAACAUAAUCAUUUUGAUACGGCUACAGUAUGGGUGUACAUUAUUAAUUUUGGUACUUUGUAAUUUUCUGACAUUAUAUAUGAAAUAUUCUGUUACCUGAUACGGCUUUGGGCAAAGAUGAAUUGUUGCCUAUGUCAACAUCUAUUAUUCUUUUCUUUCCUUGGUCAUAGAACCUCUGAUUUUUUAGCUAGUCAUAUGGCCUUUCUUAAGAAUAAAGACUAACUCCCUCAGAUUCCCUUGCAGCUAGCUGUGGACACAUGACAAAGCUCUGCCCAGUGAAAAGGAAGCAAAAGUGUUUUAGGAGCAGAUUCCAAGGAAAUUCCUUAAGAGACAUCUGGUAUGUACCCUUCCCCUUUGGAUGGAAGGAGGAGCUAUUAUGGGAAGAGGGUCAUGUGGUUGCGGGGAGGGGAUACAUGCAGAGUAAGCAAAAGUAAAAAGCUCCCUCAGGCCACUCCAUUAAUCCAAGCCCUCAUCACUAUCAUUUUAUUUUAUGGCAAGCUUUUACUAUUUCACCAGAAAAAUAUUUUCCCCUUAAGUGAGUGAUUUUUUUUAAAUGUAUGGUGUCUUUAAGUAUAUUUCAUUGUAUCUUGGAGACCAGUGUCUGCCCUCUCACGCCCCUGAUGACACAUCUCUCCAAUUUUAUAAUACAAGGAAGUCAGUUAAAAAGUGAAAUUUGAUAUCAAGCCAAGUCUCAUUUA
RNA transcript from Physeter macrocephalus (sperm whale), 3477 nucleotides. It is a transcript of the gene named Pim-1 proto-oncogene, serine/threonine kinase, with no coding region annotated. The transcript has 7 exons. Lineage: Eukaryota; Metazoa; Chordata; Mammalia; Artiodactyla; Physeteridae. The record is from RefSeq and is a predicted model, not a curated record.